GGGAACAUACCCCUCGGUUCGGAAUAACUCAGGGAAACUUGAGCUAAUACCGGAUACGUCCGAGGUUUUAAUCGACCUCGGAGAAAGAUUUAUCGCCGGAGGAUUGGCCCGCGUCUGAUUAGCUUGUUGGUGAGGUAAUGGCUCACCAAGGCGACGAUCAGUAGCUGGUCUGAGAGGAUGAUCAGCCACAUUGGGACUGAGACACGGCCCAAACUCCUACGGGAGGCAGCAGUGGGGAAUAUUGGACAAUGGGCGAAAGCCUGAUCCAGCCAUGCCGCGUGAGUGAUGAAGGCCUUAGGGUUGUAAAGCUCUUUUACCCGGGAAGAUAAUGACGGUACCGGGAGAAUAAGCCCCGGCUAACUUCGUGCCAGCAGCCGCGGUAAUACGAAGGGGGCUAGCGUUGUUCGGAAUUACUGGGCGUAAAGCGCACGUAGGCGGAUCUUUAAGUCAGGGGUGAAAUCCCGAGGCUCAACCUCGGAACUGCCUUUGAUACUGGGGAUAUCGAGUCCGGGAGAGGUGAGUGGAACUGCGAGUGUAGAGGUGAAAUUCGUAGAUAUUCGCAAGAACACCAGUGGCGAAGGCGGCUCACUGGCCCGGUACUGACGCUGAGGUGCGAAAGCGUGGGGAGCAAACAGGAUUAGAUACCCUGGUAGUCCACGCCGUAAACGAUGGAUGCUAGCCGUUAGACAGCUUGCUGUUUAGUGGCGCAGUUAACGCGUUAAGCAUCCCGCCUGGGGAGUACGGUCGCAAGAUUAAAACUCAAAGGAAUUGACGGAAUCGA
RNAcentral lists this ribosomal RNA (781 nucleotides) under uncultured bacterium. RNAcentral describes it as "bacterial SSU rRNA". It matches the Rfam family "Bacterial small subunit ribosomal RNA", at positions 120 to 922 of the family's 1533-position model. The record is from RNAcentral.